Mus musculus (house mouse) is the source of this 3848-nucleotide long non-coding RNA. RefSeq annotates it as RIKEN cDNA 4732440D04 gene. The transcript is spliced from 2 exons. Lineage: Eukaryota; Metazoa; Chordata; Mammalia; Rodentia; Muridae. The record is from RefSeq and is marked validated.
GCAGAUCCGGAAGUCGCUGGGCUGGCCGGACGGGCGCGGCUCGGUCGGCGAGCGUAGUCCCUGGCUGGCAACUUGUCUGUCCUUCCCUGACCCUGGAAGGUAUUUCGGUGCUUGCCUUGGACGGCCCCAAGGUGAGCGUGACCUUCUGGCCGCGGCAGACCGACCUCGCCAAACCUGGGGCAGCCCCAACAGGGGAACCGGAGGCUGACGAGUGAGCACCAGCACAGAUCUGGGGCCCUCAUCUGCUGCCCCGAAAUCAGCCGACUGUCACCUGGGCCACUCGUACCGGGACUGCCAGAAUGGCAGGCUACUCGGAAAGUAUGCCUGGCAUCUUUGCAAGGGUGGGGCGGCCCAGAGUCAGACCAGGACUGACGUCGUGGGAGGAGAGAACCACUCCUUGAAGUUCACACACACUAAAAAGAGCACCAAAGAGCUGUGUUUCCUCACAGUUAAUAAGUACCAUUGAAUAGCAGAAAUGUACUCCAGUUUCAAGUGUUAAAGUACCACUUGUCAUGUUGUAUACGUGGCCCAAACUUCUCUGGGAAACUGUUAAUACAAAUGUCUGUUACUUUAUACUCUGAAGUGAAUGUUUAGAGUUUAUAUGCAUCUCAAAUUAUUUAGUAAGACUAAAGUGAAAAUAUGUUAUAUGAAUUUUGCUAAGCAACAUAGAUAAAUGUUAAUAAUCAUGCAUAUCCAUAAGUUUUCUGUCACAAGCUAUUUUUCCUCAUCCUCUUGAGCAUUCUAUUCUCCAUAAUAAACAAAAACAAACUCCUGCAAUACUAUGUGAAGCUUCGGGGCUUUUCUCAAUGAAACUUCAAACAGAUUUACAAGGACCAUAGAAUGAUCUUUCAUGGGGAGUGCAGAAACAUCAUUUCAACUUACUAAAGCAUGGGCCGUUCUGCCUUCCCCCUCCUUGUGUUAUCUCUAUCCUAUUGCUUGUAAACUCCUAUCCAUUUACUGUAUUCUUUUUCCCCACUUCUCAAUUAGAAUAUACUGUGGGUGAUGUGAAGGUUGGUUUCUGUAUAAGACUACUUAUUCUUGGCUUCCACUGAAUUUUUAAUUUAGUAUCUGUCAAUGUUUCAGUGAAUUUUCAAGGAACAACUAAAAGUGCUUUUUACCAAGAACAGAACUGACUCCGUUCCUCCACAUGUAUGUGUGUACAAUCAAUUGAAUCAAAUGUAAUUUUUAAAGUGAAUUUUUUUUUUUUUUAGUUUUAUAACUGGAGGAAUUAUGCAGUCUGAGUACUACAAAUCAUUUGAAUUUUUAAGUCUCUUUUUCUCAGCUUAAACUUAAGCGUCUUCUAGUCUUUAUCAGACAUGUCUGUAAUUCUGGAUCUUUUAAGUGUUUAACAUGCUGAUUGUAAGCUCUUCUUUAAAUAUUAACCCCACCCCUGAAUAAUGAUACGCAUUCAGUACUAACAUUUGUUAGCAGCACCUUACAACUUGCUCAAGCCCUCUUCUUCUGUCUGGCCUUGUAUUAGCACUCAUUAUUUUUCUAUCAAGAACCAUCCAAUUAUGUCUCUUCCCUUCCUAAGGAUUGUCACUGGUUUUGUUUUGUAGAUGGAUAAAACUUGAACAUAGCACAACAUAUCUUGUCUGGAUUGGGUUUAGGUACCAACUCAUCUCACACUAUACUUGAUUAAAUUCUCCUCUGAUGAAUCUUUAAAUUGGAUGGAUUUUUAAAAUUCAUAGGACUCUGGAGAGAAUGACACAAAUUAUGAGGCAUUUAUAGAAUACAAUAAAUUCUGUAAAUAUUAAAUGUUAAUAUUUAAUAUCAUUAAUAACACAUUUUAAUAUUUAAAGCCAAGUAAGUUUCUAUGAAAAAUUCUUGCCCUCAGAUGUCUCAAAGGCCAUUCAAACAAAACUGCAAGGAUAGUUGCAUCUGAGGCAGUAAUACUUUCUAUUCUUUAUUCUCCCAAUCCUAGUAUUGACCCACCAUUGAUUUUUAUCACUAUCUAAUAGCUUGAAAAACCAUUUGAUUCUGUGACAGGAGCCAGAUCUUGAGAUCCAUACUAUAUUUCGAUUUCAUACUUCUGGCAGUGCUUGUUAUUGUUGAUUUUUUAAAUGUACUUUUUUAUUGAAAAUACGAAAGUAUUCUUAGAUUUGUGUCUCUUGGAUUUUACAUUACAGUUCUACUUAGCUGUCUUAACUAAUCUAGAUUUUAUCAUUUACCCUCAGUUUUACAAAUGAGGGAUUGAUUUAUGAAGACCAAUCAAUACACUUCUAAUUAGUGUUCCUUAGUAAAAGGAGUGUAAAAGUAAAACCAGGUGGUGAGUUCUAAGGCCAUAACCAUACUACACAAUCCUGCCCCUUACUUUGGUAUCAAUUCAAAUUAAGGUCUUAAAAGGGUAUGAACUUGAAAGUUUAGAAGUAAACCAAGUUUCUCAAUGAUAGAACUAUUUUGUGGGCAUAGGGCAGGGAAUAGCUCAGUUAAUUCACAGGCCAUUCUGUGGAUGUUAUGUUUUUUAAAAAUGUAUUUUAGUAUUCUAUUUGGAUAUUCUCUCUGCAUGUAUGACGACCAUGCACCAUGUGCAUGCUUCAUGCUUAGAGACCAAAAGAGGGCACUGGAUCCUCUGGCAUUGGAAUUACAAAAAGCUGUGGGUGCUGGGACCUGAACAUGCUCUUUGGAAGAGCAGCCAAUGCUCUAGGUGGCUGAGUCUAGAGCCCACUCUAGCUCCACAUUUUCUGAUUUUUGACAUCUCUGGCUUCCAUCACCUGAUACUCUUAGCCAUAACUGUCUGUCUUCAGACCCCAGGACAAGGAGCUGAAGUGCAUAUUUUACAUACCAAAGCAGACCUGGCCUCCAGCUUCUCCCAGCAUCCCUCUGUCCCUAUCUGAUAUACCCUGCCCCCAACCUUGAACUUUCUAGUUUAGGAGCUUGGGCUGUUCUUCCCCCAGAGACUCUUCCCUAUAUAAUCCAUACAUUUUGCACCACCCUCGCUGGAUGUGCUCUUUUUCUUCCCCCUCCCCUCUUUCUCCCUCCUCAUGGCUGCAAAUCUGCCCAUGUAUACUUUGGCUUAUUUACUAGUGGAGAAAUAACUUACUAUUGAUAAUGCCUCUGCAGACACUCUAGUACUCCCAGGACAGAAAAAUCAAUUCCUUUCCUGAUUAACAAUUUAUAUCAUGCUACACCAUACACCUACUGAAAUUGUAUUUCAGAAAAAAAUUAGAAGACAUGGAAUCAGCCAGAUGGUGGUGGCGCACACCUUUAAUCCCAGCACUCGGGAGGCAGAGGCCAGCCUGGUCUACAAAGUGAGUUCAAGGACAGCCAGGGCUAUACAGAGAAACCCUGUCUCGAAAAACAAACAAACAAACACACAAAGGCAUGGAAUCAGACUACUGUAAUUCCCAUUUUUAUGGUUAUCUCUGGAAAUCUGUGAAUGAGGAUCCUAAAAUCUUGCCAUUCAUUUCCUAGGCAUAUUAAACUUCAAUCAUGGUAGCUUAGAAAAUAAAAUUCUAAAGAUUUCUAAAAAGAUUUUAUUUCUAAAACAAUCUAAAAUGAUGAUAUAAACAUGAGGUAGUGGUAUGAUUUAAAAAAAAAAGUAAUGGAAUUUAUCAAAACUUCUUUGCUCCACUUUGGGUUUUCAAGGUAGGGUUUCCCUGUGUAGCCCUGGAUGUAGAACUAAACUCUGUGGACUGGCUGACCUUGAACUCAGAGAUCUGCCUGCCUCUACUGAGUGCUGGGAUUAAAGGCUUAUGGCACUACCUCCAGCAAUCAAAACUCUUAAAAUACAAAGGGAUACUUUUUUCUUAUUUGUACCUAUUCUAUAUUUUUUAAACCAUGUAUGUUCUAUAUCUUUUAAACUGUGUAUCUUUUGUAACCUAUAAUAAAAUUAAGGCUUCUUUCUA